This 253-nucleotide ribosomal RNA is filed under the name uncultured bacterium. RNAcentral's name for it is "partial 16S ribosomal RNA". It matches the Rfam family "Bacterial small subunit ribosomal RNA", at positions 524 to 776 of the family's 1533-position model. The record is from RNAcentral.
UACGGGGGGGGCAAGCGUUGUUCGGAAUUACUGGGCGUAAAGGGCUCGUAGGCGGCCAACUAAGUCAGACGUGAAAUCCCUCGGCUUAACCGGGGAACUGCGUCUGAUACUGGAUGGCUUGAGGUUGGGAGAGGGAUGCGGAAUUCCAGGUGUAGCGGUGAAAUGCGCAGAUAUCAGGAGGAACACCGGUGGCGAAGGCGGGUCUCUGGGCCGAUACUGACGCUGAGGAGCGAAAGCACGGGUAGCGAACAGG